GCUUUAUUAGUUUAAUAAGAAUGUUGAUUUGUGAUAUCAAAGGUAUAUUUUUAUAUAUUGAGCU
Molecule: transfer RNA, 64 nt
Filed under: Gryllodes sigillatus
Lineage: Eukaryota; Metazoa; Arthropoda; Insecta; Orthoptera; Gryllidae
Also listed under: 1 other name
Description: tRNA-His
Source: RNAcentral